AGGGUAAUCGACUACUAGCAUCUCAACUUGAUAAUCGUGUUACUUAUGAAAAUGGACCCAACAAUCAUCCAACAACCUUCAACUUUGGUCCAAAGUACUUGGCAAGCAAUCUUUAUCAGUUGAGCCCAAUUCAGGAUUGGGCAUUGGCGACUAUGCUAGUUAGGCCACGAUAUUUAUACAGUUUGGAGGACAUAUCAAAAGAGAUGGUUCUUUCAAGCAAAAGGUAUGGAUCGAUUAGGCGGGUGUUUGUUGUGGCUGCUGAAGAUAAACAACUAAAGAAGGAAUUCCAACAAUGGAUGAUUGAAAAGAAUCCCCCCGAUGAAGUGGAAGAGAUACUGGGUGCUGAUCACAUGGUCAUGAUGUCUAGGCCCCUUCAACUUUUCACUCUUCUUUUGCGCAUUGCUCACAAGUGACAAGCUAUCUCGGUUAGCUUAUCCCAGCUUGACAUUCCAUAUUCAAGAAUAAAGCAUAAUCGCAAAUAACGUGUAAACAUUUCUUUCUUCAUUCAUGCAAUAUUGCUGGAUCAGCUUUCACCCAUUGUCCGAGCCAUGUAGUAUUAUAUAAGCUUUUAGUUAUU
Molecule: long non-coding RNA, 577 nt
Organism: Lycium ferocissimum
Lineage: Eukaryota; Viridiplantae; Streptophyta; Magnoliopsida; Solanales; Solanaceae
Exons: 2
Source: RefSeq, a predicted model, not a curated record